AUUGAACGCUGGCGGCAGGCCUAACACAUGCAAGUCGAGCGGAUGAAGGGAGCUUGCUCCUGGAUUCAGCGGCGGACGGGUGAGUAAUGCCUAGGAAUCUGCCUGGUAGUGGGGGAUAACGUCCGGAAACGGGCGCUAAUACCGCAUACGUCCUGAGGGAGAAAGUGGGGGAUCUUCGGACCUCACGCUAUCAGAUGAGCCUAGGUCGGAUUAGCUAGUUGGUGGGGUAAAGGCCUACCAAGGCGACGAUCCGUAACUGGUCUGAGAGGAUGAUCAGUCACACUGGAGCUGAGACACGGUCCAGACUCCUACGGGAGGCAGCAGUGGGGAAUAUUGGGCAAUGGGCGAAAGCCUGAUCCAGCCAUGCCGCGUGUGUGAAGAAGGUCUUCGGAUUGUAAAGCACGUUAAGUUGGGAGGAAGGGCAGUAAGUUAAUACCUUGCUGUUUUGACGUUACCAACAGAAGAAGCACCGGCUAACUUCGUG
RNAcentral lists this ribosomal RNA (484 nucleotides) under uncultured bacterium. RNAcentral's name for it is "partial 16S ribosomal RNA". It matches the Rfam family "Bacterial small subunit ribosomal RNA", at positions 30 to 507 of the family's 1533-position model. The record is from RNAcentral.